Long non-coding RNA from Armigeres subalbatus, 935 nucleotides. RefSeq lists it as uncharacterized. The record is from RefSeq and is a predicted model, not a curated record. The transcript is spliced from 4 exons. NCBI's taxonomy places the organism in Eukaryota, Metazoa, Arthropoda, Insecta, Diptera, Culicidae.
AUCGCAUCGUCUCACAGCAGCAGUAUUUGCAUCGGAUCGUUCCGGUUGAAAAGUGGAAAUUUUCGAUAGCCGACUUGUGCGAAUAUUAGAAAAGAAAAAAUGGUGAAAUUGUCGAUUGUGCUAUUUUUGGUGGUAGCUCUGAUGUGCUGCUUGGGGAUGGCGAAGCCCCACCGUCGCGGCCCUCCGCCAGUCGUUGUCGCUCCAGUCAUCGUGCAACCAGCAAUUCGCAGACCUCCUGUUUUGGUGCGACAACCAGUUAUUGUACGACCCAUAGUUUCGCGCACAGUCGUUCAACCCGUAGUGGUAGGACGAUAUUGAACCGUUUUGGGAAAUAAAUAUGUGUACAUAAGCUUAAAUUUUUUGUUUUGCUUUUGCCGAAAAGGUGCUAAUCACAUAUAUCAAUAAUACCUAGGGCAAAUAGAUAAUAUAAAAGUCCACUCCAACCCGUAGAAAUCAAUCAGUGUUCUUAAAGCAACCAGUCGAGCUACAAACAAAAGAUGAAGUUCCUCACGUUUUCACUACUGAUAUGCGCCAUCGUCGUAGUAGCUGUCCAGGCUCGCCCACAACGUAAAGGUCCCGGCGGCGGGCCAGUCCAACAAGCACCGGUUGUUGUGGUUACCACUCCUGGUAAGAAACCGAGCGUAGUCGUAGUUCAAACAAACAAACCGGGAGGACCAGUGAAGGGGCCGAUUCAACCACAGAAACCUGGACCGGGACCGAUUAAGGGACCAGCACCGAUCAAGGGACCAGCACCAAAUCAGCGCCCCGGAAAUAACCCACCAGCAAAAGUGAUUAUCGUGAAGCAUUAGUGGGAUGAAAAAUUACAUCCGCCAAGCAUGCAAUGACAAAUUCGGACACCACGAUUUGAUCCCGUUGAUUUUGAUGUAUUGUAGGAAAAAUAAUUGACAUCGGAAAAUUUUGCUAUUUAUCAUCAA